Astyanax mexicanus (Mexican tetra) is the source of this 2423-nucleotide long non-coding RNA. RefSeq lists it as uncharacterized. The transcript is spliced from 2 exons. The record is from RefSeq and is a predicted model, not a curated record. NCBI's taxonomy places the organism in Eukaryota, Metazoa, Chordata, Actinopteri, Characiformes, Acestrorhamphidae.
CUAAAUGCCAAAUUCGUUUUGCUUGGCUCAACUCUGCUCUCUACUGGCGAAUAAUUGGUAUUUCGACGUUUUAAGGUGGACCGGAAAAUCGGAAUAAGACACUGGCUAAUAAGACGCUCACUUCAACUUCGUUGUCUCUUAAAGUCUUCACGCUGUGUUAGCAGUGCAUGUACUAACUGACUAGCUUUAGCUUAGCGAUUAGCACUAGCUAGCAAAAAGCAUUAACUAUCGCUUUAGUGCAUUCAUACACGUGGAUAAACAUUUUCAGAACUCCCACUGGUUAUUUAUUUCCCUAAUUUCUCUUGUAAAACAUUUAAACCUAAACACAGCAUAGUAUCGGAUGUUAGGUAAACUAGCUUAGCUUAACAUAGAUAGCUAGAAAACUGACACUUGGUGCUAAAUCUGGAUAUCUAUAAAGAGAUUCCGACUGUGGAAGAAUCGUUAUGUCAGUGAAUCAUAUGUAAAGAUUAAAAUAUCCUGUGGGGUGAAUUCGGCAAACCUAAAUGAGUUUCUCUGUUUAUUUAUAGUUAUUUAUAGUUUACAUUUGUAUCUGGUAAUAUAAAAUUGACUGUAUUUUUAUGAAUAUAUAUAUAUGUGUGUGUGUGUGUGUGUGUCCAGAAGAUUUUUUUUUAUACUAUGCUGAUUUAGCUAGCCUGGUGAAUCAGCAUGGAUUAUCAGCUUUUUGAUUUCCGUGACCAUCUAAAACCAAUUACCAGGAAGUGAUGGUCUUUAGCUGGGUUUUCUGAAAGCAUAAUGCAGAUUUAUUUGUGUAAAUAACCUCAUUUGGGCACGUCAUUGACUAAUAAACUGACAGUAGAAAAUUAAUGUGAACACUAGGUGGCAGUGUUAUACCGUGUUUUCAGCUUGGCUAAUUAUUAAAAGCUUUGCACAAGUGGUGUUUUCACAGGUUACAGUUUGUAUAGGGUUUCAUACAUGGUGUUCAGAUAUCAUAUGAUGAGUUAUUGAUUAAAUAUUUAAUUAAUGCUAGUUGGUUGUAUGUUAAAAUAUAUUAUAAUAUUCAAAUUGUCUAGGCCUAUUAAUAAGCAACAUAGUUGUUUACUUUAUUAUGUUUAUUUGGCAUGUGUAGUUUGUGUUUUAGUUUGGAGCUGUGGGGCUAACUAAUUCACAUUAAAUUAUCAGUAAUUCUUUUUAUAAGAAGAAAACUUGAACCCAAGUCAACUAGGUGUGAGUGAGGACAUUUCAUUGGAAUUAACAAUUAUAUUUGUGUAUACAAGUGUUGAAAAUGGUUGAAUUUAAACAGAAAUUGGUAUAUUUUAAUACAUAUUAAAUCAUUAAUAAAAAUGUUACAGUAAGAAUGGAAACACACGGUCUUGAAAUGUACCUUUUAAGUAAUAUAAGAAGCAUUGUAGGGAAAUACUUCAUUAAACAUUGUCUGAUGUGUAUUGCAACUUUUACAAACUGUGUACUGUUAUCAAAAUGUGUAGGUUUCCAAUCUUGUCACUAACUCCAUUCUCUUUGUGUUUUCGGAAACUCCCUACUGGUGAAAAGGAGUAUUGCAGAGGAAACAGUUGUCGAAGAUGCCGCCCAGCAAAGCAUCCCGGAGGUCAGCUGCUGCGAAGAAGAGGAUGGCAGACAGGGCUGUGGCUAAGACUGACGGGGUUACUUCUUCAUCCCCUGACAAAAAAGAUCUGACUCUGUUCCUGCAAGCCACAGCCCACCUGUGGGCCAAGCAGCAGCUGACACUUCUUUACCUCUGACUGACGGGGUUACGUCUUCAUCCCCUGACAAAAAAGACCUGACUGACGGGGUUACGCUUUUUCCCCAUUAUGAAAAACGCUCUAACACUGACCCAAAAGCCAAUCUCUCAAGCCAUGUCACAAGCAAUGUCACAAGCAAUGUCUCAAGCAAUGUCACAAGCAAUGUCACAAGCCAUGUCUCAGUCAACCUCUCUGCAGCUCUCUCUACCAAUCUCUCUGCCACUCAAAAUUGUAUGUCUUCACAUGUUUGUGCUGUUUAUCCUCAGGUCCAGAGACUGACUGGUUCUUUUCAUCAAGCACACUCACGGUUUGGCAUUAACAGUAAUAAACAGUGUGUUGCUAACAGUGUAACUGCAGUUAUGACUAGUAGAAUAAAGAAUGUGCUGACAUGGACAACACAAGACCUGGAUGCAGUCCUGCUUGAUGGAGACCAGUUCUACACUCACAUUAGAGAUGCUGGCAGGAUUCAUGAUGCUUCAGGAUACCUCUUUGUACAAGAUUUGCCUACAGAAUAUGCACUACAUGGUCAUAGGUUUGAACUGAAUUUCAGUGAUGAAAUGUUUACAGGACUGUUUGGUGUUACUGAAUAUGGAGAUAUGCAGAAUGUGUACAUGUCACAUGAUGAAGCCAUUGUAAGAGUGCUAUCUCAGUUUGAUGCUUGUCUGUUUACUGUGAAAGUCAAUACAUGUGCUAUCAUCAAACAGG